GGUUAAGCGACUAAGCGUACACGGUGGAUGCCCUGGCAGUCAGAGGCGAUGAAGGACGUGCUAAUCUGCGAUAAGCGUCGGUAAGGUGAUAUGAACCGUUAUAACCGGCGAUUUCCGAAUGGGGAAACCCAGUGUGAUUCGUCACACUAUCAUUAACUGAAUCCAUAGGUUAAUGAGGCGAACCGGGGGAACUGAAACAUCUAAGUACCCCGAGGAAAAGAAAUCAACCGAGAUUCCCCCAGUAGCGGCGAGCGAACGGGGAGCAGCCCAGAGCCUGAAUCAGUGUGUGUGUUAGUGGAAGCGUCUGGAAAGGCGCGCGAUACAGGGUGACAGCCCCGUACACAAAAAUGCACAUGCUGUGAGCUCGAUGAGUAGGGCGGGACACGUGGUAUCCUGUCUGAAUAUGGGGGGACCAUCCUCCAAGGCUAAAUACUCCUGACUGACCGAUAGUGAACCAGUACCGUGAGGGAAAGGCGAAAAGAACCCCGGCGAGGGGAGUGAAAAAGAACCUGAAACCGUGUACGUACAAGCAGUGGGAGCACGCUUAGGCGUGUGACUGCGUACCUUUUGUAUAAUGGGUCAGCGACUUAUAUUCUGUAGCAAGGUUAACCGAAUAGGGGAGCCGAAGGGAAACCGAGUCUUAACUGGGCGUUAAGUUGCAGGGUAUAGACCCGAAACCCGGUGAUCUAGCCAUGGGCAGGUUGAAGGUUGGGUAACACUAACUGGAGGACCGAACCGACUAAUGUUGAAAAAUUAGCGGAUGACUUGUGGCUGGGGGUGAAAGGCCAAUCAAACCGGGAGAUAGCUGGUUCUCCCCGAAAGCUAUUUAGGUAGCGCCUCGUGAAUUCAUCUCCGGGGGUAGAGCACUGUUUCGGCAAGGGGGUCAUCCCGACUUACCAACCCGAUGCAAACUGCGAAUACCGGAGAAUGUUAUCACGGGAGACACACGGCGGGUGCUAACGUCCGUCGUGAAGAGGGAAACAACCCAGACCGCCAGCUAAGGUCCCAAAGUCAUGGUUAAGUGGGAAACGAUGUGGGAAGGCCCAGACAGCCAGGAUGUUGGCUUAGAAGCAGCCAUCAUUUAAAGAAAGCGUAAUAGCUCACUGGUCGAGUCGGCCUGCGCGGAAGAUGUAACGGGGCUAAACCAUGCACCGAAGCUGCGGCAGCGACGCUUAUGCGUUGUUGGGUAGGGGAGCGUUCUGUAAGCCUGCGAAGGUGUGCUGUGAGGCAUGCUGGAGGUAUCAGAAGUGCGAAUGCUGACAUAAGUAACGAUAAAGCGGGUGAAAAGCCCGCUCGCCGGAAGACCAAGGGUUCCUGUCCAACGUUAAUCGGGGCAGGGUGAGUCGACCCCUAAGGCGAGGCCGAAAGGCGUAGUCGAUGGGAAACAGGUUAAUAUUCCUGUACUUGGUGUUACUGCGAAGGGGGGACGGAGAAGGCUAUGUUGGCCGGGCGACGGUUGUCCCGGUUUAAGCGUGUAGGCUGGUUUUCCAGGCAAAUCCGGAAAAUCAAGGCUGAGGCGUGAUGACGAGGCACUACGGUGCUGAAGCAACAAAUGCCCUGCUUCCAGGAAAAGCCUCUAAGCAUCAGGUAACAUCAAAUCGUACCCCAAACCGACACAGGUGGUCAGGUAGAGAAUACCAAGGCGCUUGAGAGAACUCGGGUGAAGGAACUAGGCAAAAUGGUGCCGUAACUUCGGGAGAAGGCACGCUGAUAUGUAGGUGAAGUCCCUCGCGGAUGGAGCUGAAAUCAGUCGAAGAUACCAGCUGGCUGCAACUGUUUAUUAAAAACACAGCACUGUGCAAACACGAAAGUGGACGUAUACGGUGUGACGCCUGCCCGGUGCCGGAAGGUUAAUUGAUGGGGUCAGCGCAAGCGAAGCUCUUGAUCGAAGCCCCGGUAAACGGCGGCCGUAACUAUAACGGUCCUAAGGUAGCGAAAUUCCUUGUCGGGUAAGUUCCGACCUGCACGAAUGGCGUAAUGAUGGCCAGGCUGUCUCCACCCGAGACUCAGUGAAAUUGAACUCGCUGUGAAGAUGCAGUGUACCCGCGGCAAGACGGAAAGACCCCGUGAACCUUUACUAUAGCUUGACACUGAACAUUGAGCCUUGAUGUGUAGGAUAGGUGGGAGGCUUUGAAGUGUGGACGCCAGUCUGCAUGGAGCCGACCUUGAAAUACCACCCUUUAAUGUUUGAUGUUCUAACGUUGACCCGUGAUCCGGGUUGCGGACAGUGUCUGGUGGGUAGUUUGACUGGGGCGGUCUCCUCCUAAAGAGUAACGGAGGAGCACGAAGGUUGGCUAAUCCUGGUCGGACAUCAGGAGGUUAGUGCAAUGGCAUAAGCCAGCUUGACUGCGAGCGUGACGGCGCGAGCAGGUGCGAAAGCAGGUCAUAGUGAUCCGGUGGUUCUGAAUGGAAGGGCCAUCGCUCAACGGAUAAAAGGUACUCCGGGGAUAACAGGCUGAUACCGCCCAAGAGUUCAUAUCGACGGCGGUGUUUGGCACCUCGAUGUCGGCUCAUCACAUCCUGGGGCUGAAGUAGGUCCCAAGGGUAUGGCUGUUCGCCAUUUAAAGUGGUACGCGAGCUGGGUUUAGAACGUCGUGAGACAGUUCGGUCCCUAUCUGCCGUGGGCGCUGGAGAACUGAGGGGGGCUGCUCCUAGUACGAGAGGACCGGAGUGGACGCAUCACUGGUGUUCGGGUUGUCAUGCCAAUGGCACUGCCCGGUAGCUAAAUGCGGAAGAGAUAAGUGCUGAAAGCAUCUAAGCACGAAACUUGCCCCGAGAUGAGUUCUCCCUGACUCCUUGAGAGUCCUGAAGGAACGUUGAAGACGACGACGUUGAUAGGCCGGAUGUGUAAGCGCAGCGAUGCGUUGAGCUAACCGGUACUAAUGAACCGUGAGGCUUAACCUU
This 2904-nucleotide ribosomal RNA is filed under the name Escherichia coli. Its description in RNAcentral is "23S ribosomal RNA". It matches the Rfam family "Bacterial large subunit ribosomal RNA". Lineage: Bacteria; Pseudomonadati; Pseudomonadota; Gammaproteobacteria; Enterobacterales; Enterobacteriaceae. The record is from RNAcentral.